This 273-nucleotide ribosomal RNA is filed under the name uncultured Bacillus sp. RNAcentral's name for it is "partial 16S ribosomal RNA". It matches the Rfam family "Bacterial small subunit ribosomal RNA", at positions 524 to 796 of the family's 1533-position model. Lineage: Bacteria; Bacillati; Bacillota; Bacilli; Caryophanales; Bacillaceae. The record is from RNAcentral.
UACGUAGGUGGCAAGCGUUAUCCGGAAUUAUUGGGCGUAAAGCGCGCGCAGGUGGUCUCUUAAGUCUGAUGUGAAAGCCCACGGCUCAACCGUGGAGGGUCAUUGGAAACUGGGAGACUUGAGUGCAGAAGAGGAAAGUGGAAUUCCAUGUGUAGCGGUGAAAUGCGUAGAGAUAUGGAGGAACACCAGUGGCGAAGGCGACUUUCUGGUCUGUAACUGACACUGAGGCGCGAAAGCGUGGGGAGCAAACAGGAUUAGAUACCCGUGUAGUCC